This 711-nucleotide ribosomal RNA is filed under the name uncultured euryarchaeote. RNAcentral's name for it is "SSU rRNA". It matches the Rfam family "Archaeal small subunit ribosomal RNA", at positions 118 to 832 of the family's 1478-position model. The record is from RNAcentral. Lineage: Archaea; Methanobacteriati; Methanobacteriota.
GGUGGGGGAUAAUCUCGGGAAACUGAGGAUAAUACCCCAUAGGUCUGAUCUGCUGGAAUGCUUUCAGGCCGAAAACUCCGGUGCCUUAGGAUUGGUCUGCGGUCUAUCAGGCUGUAGUGGGUGUAACGGACCCACUAGCCCGUGACGGAUAUGGGCCUUGAGAGAGGGAGCCCAGAGAUGGACUCUGAGACAUGAGUCCAGGCCCUACGGGGCGCAGCAGUCGCGAAAACUUCGCAAUGGGGGCAACCCCGACGAGGGAAUUCCAAGUGCCAGCACUUUGUGUUGGCUGUUCUCCUGUCUAGAAAACAGGAGGAGUAAGGGGCGGGUAAGACGGGUGCCAGCCGCCGCGGUAAUACCCGCGCCCCUAGUGGUGGUCGAUAUUAUUGAGCCUAAAACGUCCGUAGCCGGUCUUCUAAAUCCUUGGGUAAAUCGGGCAGCUUAACUGUCCGAAGUCCGGGGAGACUGGAAGACUUGGGACCGGGAGAGGUCAGAGGUACUUCUGGGGUAGGGGUAAAAUCCUGUAAUCCUGGAAGGACCACCGGUGGCGAAGGCGUCUGACUAGAACGGAUCCGACGGUGAGGGACGAAGCCCUGGGGCGCAAACGGGAUUAGAUACCCCGGUAGUCCAGGGUGUAAACGCUGCGGGCUUGGUGUUGGGGGUCCUUAGUGGGCGCCCAGUGCCGGAGAGAAGUUGUUAAGCCUGCUGCUUGGG